Molecule: ribosomal RNA, 504 nt
Filed under: uncultured bacterium
Lineage: Bacteria
Description: bacterial SSU rRNA
Rfam family: Bacterial small subunit ribosomal RNA
Source: RNAcentral
GAUUAUGGCUCAGGAUGAACGCUGGCGGCGUGCCUAACACAUGCAAGUCGAACGAAGCACUUAGACAGAACCUUCGGGUGACGUAUUGGUGACUGAGUGGCGGACGGGUGAGUAACGCGUGGGUAACCUGCCCUGUACAGGGGGAUAACAGUUAGAAAUGACUGCUAAUACCGCAUAAGCGCACGAUGGUAGCAUUACCAGGUGUGAAAAAACUCCGGUGGUACAGGAUGGGCCCGCGUCUGAUUAGCUUGUUGGCGGGGUAAGAGCCCACCAAGGCGACGAUCAGUAGCCGGUCUGAGAGGAUGAACGGCCACAUUGGAACUGAGACACGGUCCAAACUCCUACGGGAGGCAGCAGUGGGGAAUAUUGCACAAUGGGGGGAACCCUGAUGCAAGCAACGCCGCGUGAGUGAAGAAGUAUUUCGGUAUGUAAAGCUCUAUCAGCAGGGAAGAUAAUGACGGUACCUGACUAAGAAGCUCCGGCUAAAUACGUGCCAGCCGCCGC